AACACAGAAGCAUGACUACAAUGACUCAACAAAUGGAAAAACGCUUCAUCAUGAAAUCGUAUUGUUCUUUACAAAGGAGCACUCUGAGAAACCACGCCGUGCCGGUGUCGUACCGACACCUGUCCCACCCAAGAGGGGUCAGCUCCGGCGUCCCGUGGCAGAAACACUUUCUCUGUGUAGCGCUAGAUGUUUGCAUCAACUUUAAUAUCGGACCAUUUCUUUUUAAUUUGGGCCAUGGUCUGACCUCUGAGGCUGUGGCAUUAACUGUGUCUGCAACAUGUACAGUAUGUCACUCUACAGCUUUUGUGGCUAUAGUAAUGCCCACACUGUGCCCUCCAAACAUAUUUUCCUCUUUUACACCCCUCUAACAAGAACUGCAACUUAUCUACAAUC
This is a long non-coding RNA of Sander lucioperca (pikeperch), 393 nucleotides long. RefSeq lists it as uncharacterized. The transcript is spliced from 2 exons. The record is from RefSeq and is a predicted model, not a curated record. NCBI's taxonomy places the organism in Eukaryota, Metazoa, Chordata, Actinopteri, Perciformes, Percidae.